Molecule: ribosomal RNA, 476 nt
Filed under: uncultured Saprospiraceae bacterium
Lineage: Bacteria; Pseudomonadati; Bacteroidota; Saprospiria; Saprospirales; Saprospiraceae
Description: bacterial SSU rRNA
Rfam family: Bacterial small subunit ribosomal RNA
Source: RNAcentral
GAUGAACGCUAGCGGGAGGCCUAAUACAUGCAAGUCGAGGGAGAAGGUUGGUGCUUGCACCGACUGGAAACCGGCGAACGGGUGAGUAACGCGUACAUACCUGCCUUUAAGUGGAGAAUAGCCCCGGGAAACUGGGAUUAAUGCUCCAUGUGAUUACAGAUUAUAUUUGUAAUUAAAGCUCAGGCGCUUAAAGAUGGAUGUGCGUCCCAUUAGCUAGUUGGUAAGGUAACGGCUUACCAAGGCGACGAUGGGUAGGGGGCGUGAGAGCGUGAUCCCCCACACGGGUACUGAGACACGGACCCGACUCCUACGGGAGGCAGCAGUAAGGAAUAUUGGACAAUGGAGGCAACUCUGAUCCAGCCAUCCCGCGUGCAGGAUGACGGCCCUAUGGGUUGUAAACUGCUUUUAGAUAGGAAGAAACGUCUGGAUUUAUCCGGGCCUGACGGUACUAUCAGAAUAAGCACCGGCUAACUCCG